Molecule: ribosomal RNA, 480 nt
Filed under: Blastocystis sp.
Lineage: Eukaryota; Bigyra; Opalinata; Blastocystidae
Description: SSU rRNA
Rfam family: Eukaryotic small subunit ribosomal RNA
Source: RNAcentral
GGAGGUAGUGACAAUAAAUCACAAUGCGGGACUAUCAGUCUUGCAAUUGGAUUGAGAACAAUGUACAACUCUUAUCGAUAAGCCAUUGGAGGGCAAGUCUGGUGCCAGCAGCCGCGGUAAUUCCAGCUCCAAUAGCGUAUAUUAACGUUGUUGCAGUUAAAAAGCUCGUAGUUGAAGUGUGGGUGAUCGCUGUUGUGAGACUUCGGUCUCUCGACAGUAAGUCACCCCCUUCCAGUAUCCAGUAGUGGGUAUUCACUUACUUACUAUUGUGUGUUGGUCAUUUACUGUGAGAAAAUUAGAGUGUUCAAAGCAGGCGUUUGCUUGAAUAGAUUAGCAUGGAAUAAUAAUUGAAGGCUUUCGUGUUCGAUUUGAUUGGUUUGUUCAUGGAAGCAAGGUUAAAAGGAACAGUUGGGGGUAUUCAUAUUCACUAGUUAGAGGUGAAAUUCUCGGAUUUAUGGAAGAUGAACAAGUGCGAAAGCA